RNAcentral lists this long non-coding RNA (1140 nucleotides) under Taeniopygia guttata (zebra finch). Its description in RNAcentral is "lncRNA (ENSTGUG00000021605.1)". The record is from RNAcentral. Lineage: Eukaryota; Metazoa; Chordata; Aves; Passeriformes; Estrildidae.
UGAGAAGAACGUGAACUCACAGCCACCGAGGCCUGACAGGUUCCUGCAGUGAGAGCUCAGCGCUUGUCUGCAGAGAGAGAGAGGGGAGACGUGGGAAUGGGAAAACCAGAAACUCCCACAGACACUGAAAGAUUUGAUCUGCAGCCUCGGGAGAAGCUGGGAUUGAUGUACCAAUACAAGACACGGGCAUUACGCAGGAAAAGAAUAAAACAACAUAAAAUAACUUCUGUUUCUGUGGCUGUCAGUAGGAGCCUGCCCCGAGUCCCUGCUUUCCAGAGCACCCAUCCUCAGCCAUCUCCACUUCCCUGGAAAACCUGCUCCAGCCCCGGGCUGUACCAAGGUGAGCACAAGUCUGGAGAGGUCAGAACCCUCACCUGGACUGCUGCACUCGGAGCGAGAUCCAGCUACAAAUGGAAUUCCAGAAACAGCCUCCAAAAUGUUCCAUAAUCACACCUUUAAAAUGGCUCCACAGGGCAACAGCUCCGGUGCCAGAGCAGCACCUGCACGAGUCCUUGUGCCAGCCCUGGCUCCCUGAAAAACACAAUAAACCAACAUCACACAGGCCUUGUUUGCAGAAUUCCUGAUCCAAACCCUCACCUUUCCUGCCCAGCACUGAAGGAAAUCUGACACGGUAUUCACAGGUAACCUUUGCUGAGAGCAGCCAUCACCCCAGUCCUCCAGCCUGGGCAAGGUUUUGCAGUGAAUGGACCCAACUUCUAACCCUGAACCUAAAUUUCUGUCAGCUUUUGUUAGAAGGAUACUGGAGAGAAAAUCAUACAACAGAUUUAAAACAUUGCACGAGGAAUAACCGGCCCAGACAAAACCAAACCACCCCCAUCUCUGCUCCACCCCAUUUCUCCCAGUUUUGGGAGAAAUACUGAUAUAAUUUGUAAAUACUCUCCUUCCCUGCUGCACUAUCCUUCACUGCACGUCCCUGGAGAGGAUUUACUCCAUUUUCUGUGCCCAGCAGCACCUCUGCAGCCCAAAUCCCACUCCUCGCAGACACAGCCUGAGCAGAGCUCAGGCAGUGUUCCCAGCAGCGGAUGCAAUUCCGAGUUCCCUGGAUUGCUCACGGGGCACUCGCAGCAAUCUCCCCUCAGCCCAGACUCUGUGCUCAGAGGGAAGCGCAGCCCGAUGGGA